CUUUGACCUCGGAUCAGGUAGGGAUACCCGCUGAACUUAAGCAUAUCAAUAAGCGGAGGAAAAGAAACCAACAGGGAUUGCCCCAGUAACGGCGAGUGAAGCGGCAACAGCUCAAAUUUGAAAUCUGGCUCUUUCAGAGUCCGAGUUGUAAUUUGCAGAGGGCGCUUUGGCGUCGGCAGCGGUCUAAGUUCCUUGGAACAGGUCAUCAUAGAGGGUGAGAAUCCCGUAUGUGGCCGACUGUCUUCGCCGUGUAAAGCCCCUUCGACGAGUCGAGUUGUUUGGGAAUGCAGCUCUAAAUGGGAGGUAAAUUUCUUCUAAAGCUAAAUAUUGGCCAGAGACCGAUAGCGCACAAGUAGAGUGAUCGAAAGAUGAAAAGCACUUUGGAAGGAGAGUCAAAAAGCACGUGAAAUUGUUGAAAGGGAAGCGCUUGCAGCCAGACGUGCCUGUAGUUGCUCAUCUGGGGUUCUCCCCAGUGCACUCUUCUAUGGGCAGGCCAGCAUCAGUCCGGGCGGUUGGAGAAAGACCUGUGUCAUGUAGCUGUCUUCGGGCAGUGUUAUAGGGCAGGUGGAAUGCAACCAGCCUGGACUGAGGUCCGCGCAUCUGCUAGGAUGCUGGCGUAAUGGCUGUAAGCGGCCCGUCUUGAAACACGGACCAAGGAGUCUAACAUGCCCGCGAGUGUUUGGGUGGAAAACCCGAGCGCGUAAUGAAAGUGAAAGUUGAGACCUCUGUCGUGGAGGGCAUCGACGCCCGGACCAGACCUUUUGUGACGGAUCCGCGGUAAAGCGUGCAUGUUG
RNAcentral lists this ribosomal RNA (794 nucleotides) under uncultured Ascomycota. RNAcentral's name for it is "eukaryotic LSU rRNA". It matches the Rfam family "Eukaryotic large subunit ribosomal RNA", at positions 1 to 811 of the family's 3401-position model. The record is from RNAcentral. Lineage: Eukaryota; Fungi; Ascomycota.